Molecule: ribosomal RNA, 402 nt
Filed under: uncultured bacterium
Lineage: Bacteria
Description: partial 16S ribosomal RNA
Rfam family: Bacterial small subunit ribosomal RNA
Source: RNAcentral
AUAUUACACACUGGGCGCAGGCCUGAUGCAGCAACCCCGCGGGAGGGAUGACGGCCUUCGGGUUGUAUACCUCUUUUAUUAAUGAAGAAGCGAAAGUGACGGUACGUGCAGAAUAACCACCGGCUAACUACGUGCCAGCGGCCGCGGUAAUACGUACGGUGCAAGCGUUGUCCGGAAUUAUUGGGCGUAAAGGGCUCGUAGGCGGCUUGUGGCGUCUGCUGUGAAAUCCCGGGGCUCAACUCCGGGCCUGCAGUGGGUACGGGCAGGCUAGAGUGCGGUAGGCGAGAUUGGAAUUACUGGUGUAGCGGUGGAAUGCGCAGAUAUCAGGAGGAACACCGAUGGCGAAGGCAGAUCUCUGGGCCGUAACUGACGCUGAGGAGCGAAAGCAUGGGGAGCGAACAG